AGAGUUUGAUCAUGGCUCAGGAUGAACGCUAGCUACAGGCUUAACACAUGCAAGUCGAGGGGAAACGACAUCGAAAGCUUGCUUUUGAUGGGCGUCGACCGGCGCACGGGUGAGUAACGCGUAUCCAACCUGCCCACCACUUGGGGAUAACCUUGCGAAAGUAAGACUAAUACCCAAUGACGUCUCUAGAAGACAUCUGAAAGAGAUUAAAGAUUUAUCGGUGAUGGAUGGGGAUGCGUCUGAUUAGCUUGUUGGCGGGGUAACGGCCACCAAGGCGACGAUCAGUAGGGGUUCUGAGAGGAAGGUCCCCCANAUUGGAACUGAGACACGGUCCAAACUCCUACGGGACGGCA
RNAcentral lists this ribosomal RNA (353 nucleotides) under uncultured bacterium. RNAcentral describes it as "bacterial SSU rRNA". It matches the Rfam family "Bacterial small subunit ribosomal RNA", at positions 8 to 350 of the family's 1533-position model. The record is from RNAcentral.